CGGCAUGAACGCACCCUGAUCAGCCAUGCCGCGUGAGUGAAGAAGGCCUUCGGGUUGUAAAGCUCUUUCGUGAGGGAAGAAACGGUCAAAGUGAAUAGCUUUGGUCACUGACGGUACCUCAAGAAGAAGCACCGGCUAACUACGUGCCAGCAGCCGCGGUAAUACGUAGGGUGCGAGCGUUAAUCGGAAUUACUGGGCGUAAAGCGUGCGCAGGCGGUUUGUUAAGUCAGAUGUGAAAGCCCCGGGCUUAACCUGGGAACUGCGUUUGAGACUGGCAAGCUAGAGUCUGUCAGAGGGGGGUAGAAUUCCACGUGUAGCAGUGAAAUGCGUAGAGAUGUGGAGGAAUACCGAUGGCGAAGGCAGCCCCCUGGGAUAAGACUGACGCUCAUGCACGAAAGCGUGGGGAGCAAACAGGAUUAGAUACCCUGGUAGUCCACGCCCUAAACGAUGUCAACUGGUUGUUGGGUAACUUGUUUACUUAUUAACGAAGCUAACGCGAGAAGUUGACCGCCUGGGGAGUACGGUCGCAAGAUUAAAACUCAAAGGAA
Molecule: ribosomal RNA, 548 nt
Filed under: uncultured bacterium
Lineage: Bacteria
Description: bacterial SSU rRNA
Rfam family: Bacterial small subunit ribosomal RNA
Source: RNAcentral